GACGAACGCUGGCGGCGCGCCUAACACAUGCAAGUUGAACGAGCGAGAGAGAGCUUGCUUUCUCGAGCGAGUGGCGAACGGGUGAGUAACGCGUGAGGAACCUGCCUCGGAGUGGGGAAUAACAGCCCGAAAGGGUUGCUAAUACCGCAUGAUGCAGCUGGGUCGCAUGACCCUGGCUGUCAAAGAUUUAUCGCUCUGAGAUGGCCUCGCGUCUGAUUAGCUAGUAGGCGGGGUAACGGCCCACCUAGGCGACGAUCAGUAGCCGGACUGAGAGGUUGACCGGCCACAUUGGGACUGAGACACGGCCCAG
RNAcentral lists this ribosomal RNA (310 nucleotides) under uncultured bacterium. Its description in RNAcentral is "bacterial SSU rRNA". It matches the Rfam family "Bacterial small subunit ribosomal RNA", at positions 28 to 334 of the family's 1533-position model. The record is from RNAcentral.